UGCCAUCACUGAUUUUGAUAUAGUUUC
Molecule: small RNA, 27 nt
Filed under: Bombyx mori (domestic silkworm)
Lineage: Eukaryota; Metazoa; Arthropoda; Insecta; Lepidoptera; Bombycidae
Description: ovarian small RNA-33698
Source: RNAcentral